GCUGGCGGCGUGCCUAACACAUGCAAGUCGAACGGGAAAACAGGGGCAACUCUGUGAGUACAGUGGCGUACGGGUGAGUAACACGUGACUACCUACCUUUGAGUGGGGGAUAACCCCGGGAAACCGGGGCUAAUACCGCAUAACAUCGCAAGAUCAAAGGAGCAAUCCGCUUAAAGAGGGGGUCGCGGCUGAUUAGCUAGUUGGUGAGGUAACGGCUCACCAAGGCGAUGAUCGGUAGCCGGCCUGAGAGGGCGCACGGCCACACUGGAACUGAAACACGGUCCAGACUCCUACGGGAGGCAGCAGUGGGGAAUUUUGCGCAAUGGGGGAAACCCUGACGCAGCAACGCCGCGUGGAGGAUGAAGUCCCUUGGGACGUAAACUCCUUUCGACCCGGACGAUAAUGACGGUACGGGUGGAAGAAGCACCGGCUAACUUCGUGCCAGCAGCCGCGGUAAUACGAGGGGUGCAAGCGUUGUUCGGAAUUAUUGGGCGUAAAGGGCGCGUAUGCGGCGCGGUAAGUCACCUGUGAAAUCUCCCGGCUCAAC
This 547-nucleotide ribosomal RNA is filed under the name uncultured bacterium. RNAcentral's name for it is "bacterial SSU rRNA". It matches the Rfam family "Bacterial small subunit ribosomal RNA", at positions 35 to 613 of the family's 1533-position model. The record is from RNAcentral.